Molecule: ribosomal RNA, 2379 nt
Filed under: Pyropia perforata
Lineage: Eukaryota; Rhodophyta; Bangiophyceae; Bangiales; Bangiaceae
Description: LSU rRNA
Rfam family: Bacterial large subunit ribosomal RNA
Source: RNAcentral
GUUCUUAAAUAUGAAUAAUUUAAAAAGUUAUCAAAGGAAAUCUUGAUAGAAAAAUAAAGACGUCGCGCGACGAAACAUCAUAGAAAGGCACUUGCUUAUGAACUAUGAGUUUCUUUAAGAAAACUCGCAUUUAAUAUGCUUUUAUACAUUUAUGUGAAUUGAAUCAUCUUAGUAACAUAUUAAAAAAUCAAACGAGAAUUUGUAAGUAACGGUGAGUGAAAGCGAAUCUAGCUGUGUGCUGAAACCCAAAGAAGGUAAUUAAGUCCUUUGUAGCAUUAAUAAUAAUACAAAGUAGUAUGAUUAAUUUUGUACGAAAAUAGGAGUACCAUCUUCUAAGCUAGAAAUUUUUCUAAUCGAUAGUGAACGAGUACUGUGAAGGAAAGAUUUGAAUUUGCUAAUUUAUAUUUAUUUGAAGCUAAUAUAUAUAGCAACAAAGUGCCUUUUGCAUAAUGAGUCAGUAAGUUAAUGUAUGUAGCAAGCUUAAAAGUAUUAAGGCAUUAAAAGUUACAUGUAUUAGACCCGAAGCCAAGUGAUCUAUUUUUAAGCAAGCUGAAGAUGUUUUAAAACGCAUUGAAGGGCUGAACCCACGUCUGUUGAAAAAUACGGGGAUGACUUAAGAAUAGGGGUGAAAGUCCAAUCAAACUUGGUGAUAGCUGGUUUUCCGCGAAAACUAUCAAAGUAGUACGUUGCUUUUAAAAAAUGUGGGUAGAGCUACUUAUUAAACUUAGAUUUUGCUAUGUUUUAUUAAACUCCAAACUAUAUUUUUUCUAAGCAGCAGACAGUCAUUAGGCGAUAAGGUCUAAUGUCAAAAGGGAAACAACCCUAAUCGGUAGCUAAGAUCUCAAAAUUAUGAAUUAGUGAAAAAAUGAAAAAUAAUUCGAAUAAACAGAGUAGGCUUAGAAGCAGCCAUCUAUUGGAGAAAGCGUUUUAGCUCAUUAUUUUUAUUUAUUUUGUUCAUUUAUAAUGUAAAGAGGCUUAAAUUUAUAUAUCGAAGCAUCGAAUUAAGUUAUAUUUAGCUUAGUGGUAGCGGAACGUCCUGUAGUCUUUUAUGUUAAUGUUAAAUUGCAUAUUAAAAAUCAGGAGUGCUAAUGCUGACAUGAGUAGCGUCAAUCAUGUUGAAAACAAAUCAUGAUCGUCUAUUGUUCAAGGGUUUUCAGUAAAUUUUAAGUAACUGAAUUUAGUCGGCCCUUAAAAAAAAAGCGAAAGCUGUAUUUGAUAGGAAAGUUGGUCCACAUGUCUGCAAAACAUUCUUUUGUUUUGUGUAAAAAAUCAAUAUUUUUAAAUUCUGCUCAGUAAACUAGCAACUUUAAGAAAUUGUUUUUCAGGAAAACUUACAUGAAGUUUGACCGUACCUAAAACCGACACAGGUGAACUUAUUGAAAAGAUAAAGACGAGUGAGCGAAUUAUACUUAAGGAACUCGGCAAAUUUGCUCUGUACGUUCGCAAAAAAGAGCACCUUAAAGGUUUCAAGAAUUAGGGGUAGCGACUGUUUAACAAAAACUUAAAACUUUGCAAAUUCUAAAGAAGACGUAUAAGGUUUGAUGCCUGCCCAGUGCUUGAAAGCGAAAAAUAGAUGUUAAUGCAUAUAUUAUAAACCCAAGUAAACGGCGGUCUUAACUAUAAGGAUCCUCAGGUAGCGAAAUUCCUUGGCGGGUAAGUUCCGUCCUGCAUGAAUGGCAUCACGACUACCCCACUGUCUCUAGUAUAACCUCAGCGAAAUUACAUUGUCUGUGAAAAUGCAGACAUCCUACAACAAGACGGAAAGACCCUAUGAUUCUUAACUAUAAUUUUACAUCGUAAUAAUUUUGUACAUAGUACAGUAAAAGUAGGAGUAUAUUUAUACAACUUUGAAAAACUACUUUGUGUAUAGAAAAUUACUUACUAAAGAGGAAAUGUGUAAAAGUGGUAGUUUACUUGGGACGAGGACCUCCUAAACUGUAACGGAGGUGCACAAAAGUAAAUUUUAAUUAGUUAUUUACACUAAUGUAACACGUAAUGGUAAAAGUUUGCUUGACGGUAAGAAUUACAAUUCAAACUGAGACGAAAGUCAGUCAUAAUGAUCCGGCAGUAACGUAUGGAAGUACUGUCGCUUAUCGGAAAAAAGAAACUCUAGGGAUAACAGAUUUAUCAUGGUUGAGAGUUCUUAUCGAUGCCAUGGUUUGAUACCUCGAUGUCGGGCCGAGUAGCCACGUUAACAUUAUAUAAGUGCUGACAGCUUAAAAGCGCAAAAAAAAUCUUCCUUUUUUUCUGGAACAUUCUAGAAGAUUACUAGAUAGAUCGGCUUACUAUUUAAUACUUGUAAGAGUAAGUAAGUAAAUACGAAAAGUUCAUUAUAAUUUAUACUAUAUUUAAGAACGGGUUUUAUCCCGUUCUUAAAUA